Molecule: ribosomal RNA, 818 nt
Filed under: uncultured Bacteroidota bacterium
Lineage: Bacteria; Pseudomonadati; Bacteroidota
Description: bacterial SSU rRNA
Rfam family: Bacterial small subunit ribosomal RNA
Source: RNAcentral
GACGGUAAAGGAAUUAGCUUGCUAAUUUGCUGACGAGUGGCGCACGGGUGCGUAACGCGUAUACAAUCUACCUUUUGCUGAGGGAUAGCCCAGAGAAAUUUGGAUUAAUACCUCAUGGUAUUAUUGAUAGGCAUCUAUUAAUAAUUAAAGGUUACGGCAAAAGAUGAGUAUGCGUCCCAUUAGCUAGUUGGCGAGGUAACGGCUCACCAAGGCAACGAUGGGUAGGGGUCCUGAGAGGGAGAUCCCCCACACUGGUACUGAGACACGGACCAGACUCCUACGGGAGGCAGCAGUGAGGAAUAUUGGACAAUGGGCGAGAGCCUGAUCCAGCCAUGCCGCGUGCAGGAAGACUGCCCUAUGGGUUGUAAACUGCUUUUAUACAGGAAGAAUAAGCCUUACGUGUAAGGUGAUGACGGUACUGUAAGAAUAAGGACCGGCUAACUCCGUGCCAGCAGCCGCGGUAAUACGGAGGGUCCGAGCGUUAUCCGGAAUUAUUGGGUUUAAAGGGUCCGUAGGCGGAUGAUUAAGUCAGGGGUGAAAGUUUGCAGCUCAACUGUAAAAUUGCCUUUGAUACUGGUCAUCUUGAGUUGUAUUGAAGUAGGCGGAAUAUGUAGUGUAGCGGUGAAAUGCAUAGAUAUUACAUAGAACACCAAUUGCGAAGGCAGCUUACUAAGUACUAACUGACGCUGAUGGACGAAAGCGUGGGUAGCGAACAGGAUUAGAUACCCUGGUAGUCCACGCCGUAAACGAUGGAUACUAGCUGUUCGGGACCUUGAGUUCUGAGCGGCUGAACGAAAGUGAUAAGUAUCCCACCUGGG